UGGACUAUUAACUCAACUGGUCAGAGUACCCGACUCUUAAUCGGGAGGUUCAGGGUUCGACUCCCUGAUAGUCUACCAA
RNAcentral lists this transfer RNA (79 nucleotides) under Erwinia phage SunLIRen. Its description in RNAcentral is "tRNA-Lys". It matches the Rfam family "tRNA". Rfam says of the family: Transfer RNA (tRNA) molecules are approximately 80 nucleotides in length. Their secondary structure includes four short double-helical elements and three loops (D, anti-codon, and T loops). Further hydrogen bonds mediate the characteristic L-shaped molecular structure. tRNAs have two regions of fundamental functional importance: the anti-codon, which is responsible for specific mRNA codon recognition, and the 3' end, to which the tRNAs corresponding amino acid is attached (by aminoacyl-tRNA synthetases). tRNAs cope with the degeneracy of the genetic code in two manners: having more than one tRNA (with a specific anti-codon) for a particular amino acid; and 'wobble' base-pairing, i.e. permitting non-standard base-pairing at the 3rd anti-codon position. The record is from RNAcentral. RNAcentral also lists the same sequence under 1 other name. Lineage: Duplodnaviria; Heunggongvirae; Uroviricota; Caudoviricetes; Andersonviridae.